RNAcentral lists this ribosomal RNA (87 nucleotides) under Serratia entomophila. The record is from RNAcentral. Lineage: Bacteria; Pseudomonadati; Pseudomonadota; Gammaproteobacteria; Enterobacterales; Yersiniaceae.
GACCCCAUGCCGAACUCAGAAGUGAAACGCCGUAGCGCCGAUGGUAGUGUGGGGUCUCCCCAUGCGAGAGUAGGACACUGCCAGGCA